GGCGCAGCCUGAUGCGCCAUGCCGCGUGUGUGAAGAAGGCCUUCGGGUUGUAAAGCACUUUCAGUCGUGAGGAAGGUUCAUGCGUUAAUAGCGUAUGGAUUUGACGUUAGCGACAGAAGAAGCACCGGCUAACUCCGUGCCAGCAGCCGCGGUAAUACGGAGGGUGCGAGCGUUAAUCGGAAUUACUGGGCGUAAAGCGCAUGCAGGUGGUUCGUUAAGUCAGAUGUGAAAGCCCGGGGCUCAACCUCGGAACUGCAUUUGAAACUGGCGGACUAGAGUACUGUAGAGGGGGGUAGAAUUUCAGGUGUAGCGGUGAAAUGCGUAGAGAUCUGAAGGAAUACCGGUGGCGAAGGCGGCCCCCUGGACAGAUACUGACACUCAGAUGCGAAAGCGUGGGGAGCAAACAGGAUUAGAUACCCUGGUAGUCCACGCCGUAAACGAUGUCUACUUGGAGGUUGUGGCCUUGAGCCGUGGCUUUCGGAGCUAACGCGUUAAGUAGACCGCCUGGGGAGUACGGUCGCAAGAUUAAAACUCAAAUGAAUUGACGGGGGCCCGCACAAGCGGUGGAGCAUGUGGUUUAAUUCGAUGCAACGCGAAGAACCUUACCUACUCUUGACAUCUAGAGAAGCCAGCGGAGACGCAGGUGUGCCUUCGGGAACUCUAAGACAGGUGCUGCAUGGCUGUCGUCAGCUCGUGUUGUGAAAUGUUGGGUUAAGUCCCGCAACGAGCGCAACCCUUAUCCUUGUUUGCCAGCGAGUAAUGUCGGGAACUCCAGGGAGACUGCCGGUGAUAAACCGGAGGAAGGUGGGGACGACGUCAAGUCAUCAUGGCCCUUACGAGUAGGGCUACACACGUGCUACAAUGGCGCAUACAGAGGGCUGCCAACCAGCGAUGGUGAGCGAAUCCCAAAAAGUGCGUCGUAGUCCGGAUUGGAGUCUGCAACUCGACUCCAUGAAGUCGGAAUCGCUAGUAAUCGUGAAUCAGAAUGUCACGGUGAAUACGUUCCCGGGCCUUGUACACACCGCCCGUCACACCAUGGGAGUGGGCUGCAAAAGAAGUGGGUAGUUUAACCUUUCGAGGAGGACGCUCACCACUUUGUGGUCAUGAUGGGGACG
RNAcentral lists this ribosomal RNA (1115 nucleotides) under Vibrio sp. 814M. RNAcentral describes it as "bacterial SSU rRNA". It matches the Rfam family "Bacterial small subunit ribosomal RNA", at positions 374 to 1482 of the family's 1533-position model. Lineage: Bacteria; Pseudomonadati; Pseudomonadota; Gammaproteobacteria; Vibrionales; Vibrionaceae. The record is from RNAcentral.